Cryptomeria japonica (Japanese cedar) is the source of this 122-nucleotide small nucleolar RNA. RefSeq annotates it as small nucleolar RNA SNORD14. The record is from RefSeq and is a predicted model, not a curated record. NCBI's taxonomy places the organism in Eukaryota, Viridiplantae, Streptophyta, Pinopsida, Cupressales, Cupressaceae. The transcript has a single exon.
GGUGGAUGAUGAGAAAAACAAGGCUUGUUUUUCAAAACAUUCGUAGUGGCCGCCUAGGAGCUUUCAACCAUGAUAGGCUUGAGAGCUUGUGCUGUUCAGUUCUUCCUUGGAUGUCUGUGACC